UACACUCCUGCGGGAGGCAGCAGUGGGAAUUUUGGACAAUGGGCGAAAGCCUGAUCCAGCAAUGCCGCGUGCAGGAUGAAGGCCUUCGGGUUGUAAACUGCUUUUGUACGGAACGAAAAAGCUCCUUCUAAUACAGGGGGCCCAUGACGGUACCGUAAGAAUAAGCACCGGCUAACUACGUGCCAGCAGCCGCGGUAAUACGUAGGGUGCGAGCGUUAAUCGGAAUUACUGGGCGUAAAGCGUGCGCAGGCGGUUAUGUAAGACAGAUGUGAAAUCCCCGGGCUCAACCUGGGAACUGCAUUUGUGACUGCAUGGCUAGAGUACGGUAGAGGGGGAUGGAAUUCCGCGUGUAGCAGUGAAAUGCGUAGAUAUGCGGAGGAACACCGAUGGCGAAGGCAAUCCCCUGGACCUGUACUGACGCUCAUGCACGAAAGCGUGGGGAGCAAACAGGAUUAGAUACCCGGGUAGUCC
Molecule: ribosomal RNA, 471 nt
Filed under: uncultured organism
Description: partial 16S ribosomal RNA
Rfam family: Bacterial small subunit ribosomal RNA
Source: RNAcentral